GAUGAACGCUGGCGGCGUGCCUAAUACAUGCAAGUCGAGCGAACAGACGAGGAGCUUGCUCCUCUGACGUUAUCGGCUGACGGGUGAGUAACACGUGGAUAACCUACCUAUAAGACUGGGAUAACUUCGGGAAACCGGAGCUAAUACCGGAUAAUAUAUUGCACCGCAUGUUUCAAUAGUGCAAUACGGUUUUGCUGUCACUUAUAGAUUGAUCCGCGCCGCAUUAGCUCGUUGGUCAGGUAACGGCUUAACAAGGCAACGAUGCGUAGCCGACCUGAGAGGGUGAUAGGCCACACUGGAAGUGAGACACGGUCCAGACUCCUACGGGAGGCAGCAGUAGGGAAUCUUCCGCAAUGGGCGAAAGCCUGACGGAGCAACGCCGCGUGAGUGAUGAAGGUCUUCGGAUCGUAAAACUCUGUUAUUAGGGAAGAACAAAUGUGUAAGUAACUAUGCACGUAUUGACGGUACCUAAUCAGAAAGCCACGGCUAACUACGUG
Molecule: ribosomal RNA, 497 nt
Filed under: uncultured bacterium
Lineage: Bacteria
Description: partial 16S ribosomal RNA
Rfam family: Bacterial small subunit ribosomal RNA
Source: RNAcentral